Molecule: ribosomal RNA, 1420 nt
Filed under: Streptomyces sp.
Lineage: Bacteria; Bacillati; Actinomycetota; Actinomycetes; Kitasatosporales; Streptomycetaceae
Description: bacterial SSU rRNA
Rfam family: Bacterial small subunit ribosomal RNA
Source: RNAcentral
CGGAGUGGAUAGCACCUGUGACUCCAACGAUGAACCACGUUCGGUGGGGAUUAGGGGCAAUCCGGUGAGUAACACGUGGGCAAUCUGCCCUUCACUCUGGGACAAGCCCUGGAAACGGGGUCUAAUACCGGAUACCACUUCCGCAGGCAUCUGCGGGGGUUGAAAGCUCCGGCGGUGAAGGAUGAGCCCGCGGCCUAUCAGCUUGUUGGUGAGGUAAUGGCUCACCAAGGCGACGACGGGUAGCCGGCCUGAGAGGGCGACCGGCCACACUGGGACUGAGACACGGCCCAGACUCCUACGGGAGGCAGCAGUGGGGAAUAUUGCACAAUGGGCGAAAGCCUGAUGCAGCGACGCCGCGUGAGGGAUGACGGCCUUCGGGUUGUAAACCUCUUUCAGCAGGGAAGAAGCGAAAGUGACGGUACCUGCAGAAGAAGCGCCGGCUAACUACGUGCCAGCAGCCGCGGUAAUACGUAGGGCGCAAGCGUUGUCCGGAAUUAUUGGGCGUAAAGAGCUCGUAGGCGGUCUGUCACGUCGGAUGUGAAAGCCCGGGGCUUAACCCCGGGUCUGCAUUCGAUACGGGCAGACUAGAGUGUGGUAGGGGAGAUCGGAAUUCCUGGUGUAGCGGUGAAAUGCGCAGAUAUCAGGAGGAACACCGGUGGCGAAGGCGGAUCUCUGGGCCAUUACUGACGCUGAGGAGCGAAAGCGUGGGGAGCGAACAGGAUUAGAUACCCUGGUAGUCCACGCCGUAAACGGUGGGAACUAGGUGUUGGCGACAUUCCACGUCGUCGGUGCCGCAGCUAACGCAUUAAGUUCCCCGCCUGGGGAGUACGGCCGCAAGGCUAAAACUCAAAGGAAUUGACGGGGGCCCGCACAAGCAGCGGAGCAUGUGGCUUAAUUCGACGCAACGCGAAGAACCUUACCAAGGCUUGACAUACACCGGAAACGGCCAGAGAUGGUCGCCCCCUUGUGGUCGGUGUACAGGUGGUGCAUGGCUGUCGUCAGCUCGUGUCGUGAGAUGUUGGGUUAAGUCCCGCAACGAGCGCAACCCUUGUUCUGUGUUGCCAGCAUGCCCUUCGGGGUGAUGGGGACUCACAGGAGACUGCCGGGGUCAACUCGGAGGAAGGUGGGGACGACGUCAAGUCAUCAUGCCCCUUAUGUCUUGGGCUGCACACGUGCUACAAUGGCCGGUACAAAGAGCUGCGAAACCGUGAGGUGGAGCGAAUCUCAAAAAGCCGGUCUCAGUUAGGAUUGGGGUCUGCAACUCGACCCCAUGAAGUCGGAGUUGCUAGUAAUCGCAGAUCAGCAUCAGGAACGAAAAUAUGUUCCCGGGCCUUGUGCAACCCGCCCGUGUCGACGCGAAAGUCAGUCACACCUUAAGCCGGUGGCCCAAUCACUUUCAGGAGGGAGCUCACGAAGGUGG